Molecule: long non-coding RNA, 441 nt
Filed under: Trifolium pratense (red clover)
Lineage: Eukaryota; Viridiplantae; Streptophyta; Magnoliopsida; Fabales; Fabaceae
Description: long non-coding RNA (TPRA_LNC000982)
Source: RNAcentral
GAGUGAUGAAGGAACAACAACGUCAUGGUCGAAAACCUCCAUCGAGAAGGUGGUCAUUGCGGCGCUUCUCGACGGUCGUCGAGUUAGCAUCUGGUUUGCCGGUUCGAGAUUCGACAUUUCUGCCGACUCUCUCCAGACUACCACCUACCUCUCCCUUCAAACUCUCCCCGUUCUACCUGCACGUACACAACAACAAUGACAAUUCAAAUGCACGUUUAAUUAAUCAAAUUUUGCUUCAAUAAUGUGUAUUAAUUGAUGAUGAUGUAGCUACCUUGUGAAUAACUGAAAAUUGAAAACCAAAAAUGUGAAAGAAGAGAAGAGAUCAAAAAUGGAAUUUGGUUUCAGAAGAUGUGUGUGAGAGUGUAUCUUAGGGUGCAAGAAAAAGAGGAAAGAGAGAGAAACAAGCGGGAAUAACCGAACAUCAUGAGAGAUUGAGGAAGG